CAAGUCGAACGCGAAAGCCCCGCAAGGGGUAAGUAGAGUGGCAAACGGGUGAGUAACACGUGGGUGACCUGCCUUCGAGUGGGGGAUAACGUCCCGAAAGGGACGCUAAUACCGCAUGACAUCCUGCGUUUGGAAACGCGGAGAUCAAAGCCGGGGAUCGCAAGACCUGGCGCUUGAAGAGGGGCCCGCGCCUGAUUAGCUAGUUGGUGGGGUAACGGCCUACCAAGGCGACGAUCAGUAUCCGGCCUGAGAGGGCGGACGGACACACUGGGACUGAGACACGGCCCAGACUCCUACGGGAGGCAGCAGUGGGGAAUUGUUCGCAAUGGGCGCAAGCCUGACGACGCAACGCCGCGUGGAGGACGAAGAUCUUCGGGUCGUAAACUCCUGUCGAGCGGGAAGAACGCUUCCCGGGUGAAUAAUCCGGGGAGGUGACGGUACCGCUAAAGGAAGCCCCGGCUAACUCCGUGCCAGCAGCCGCGGUAAUACGGGGGGGGCAAGCGUUGUUCGGAAUUACUGGGCGUAAAGGGCUCGUAGGCGGCCAACUAAGUCGGAUGUGAAAUCCCCAGGCUUAACCUGGGAACUGCAUCCNAUACUGGAUGGCUUGAAUCCGGGAGAGGGAUGCAGAAUUCCAGGUGUAGCGGUGAAAUGCGUAGAUAUCUGGAGGAAUACCGGUGGCGAAGGCGGCAUCCUGGACCGGCAUUGACGCUGAGUGAGCGAAAGCCAGGGGAGCAAACGGGAUUAGAUACCCCGGUAGUCCUGGCCCUAAACGAUGAAUGCUUGGUGUGGCGGGUAUCGAU
RNAcentral lists this ribosomal RNA (800 nucleotides) under uncultured Acidobacteriota bacterium. RNAcentral describes it as "bacterial SSU rRNA". It matches the Rfam family "Bacterial small subunit ribosomal RNA", at positions 58 to 836 of the family's 1533-position model. The record is from RNAcentral. Lineage: Bacteria; Pseudomonadati; Acidobacteriota.